AUGAUAUUUUGAGGCUUCAUUUACCACAUAAAGAGUGCUUAUUUUACGCGCUUACUACGCUCCAAUGUAUUACGUUAUAGGAUAACGUGUGUAAAGUCCAGAAUACGCCUAGACAAUAAUAGCUUUUGCAGUUAUUCUUCUGGCAUUCCCCCGAUUUCUUGGCAAUCAGGUAAAAAAAAAUCACUACAAUUCACCAUUUCUGAACAUUAAGAAACAUUUUUAUUUACCAGAUGGGACAGAAAACAGCAAUAACGAUGGUGUUCACGAUACAAGUCGUCGAUCCAUCGACUGAUACCAGCCAACAAGAUGCCACCCCACCAUCUUUCAAUUCUCUGUUCGACCCACCAUCGACUGAUACCAGCCAACAAGAUGCCGCCCCUCCGUCUUACGAGUCUCUGUUCGGUCAGAUCAGGAGUGAAAGAGAAAAACACAAAAAUCCUGUUUCUUUCAUC
This is a long non-coding RNA of Lytechinus pictus (painted urchin), 452 nucleotides long. RefSeq lists it as uncharacterized. Lineage: Eukaryota; Metazoa; Echinodermata; Echinoidea; Temnopleuroida; Toxopneustidae. The transcript is spliced from 3 exons. The record is from RefSeq and is a predicted model, not a curated record.